CCCUACCUUCGAAAUUUCACUUUAAUUUUCAUUAAUCUUCAAAUUAAAUACGACUAGAACUUUUUUUCCUUUAUUUUUUCUUCCCCCGUCUUUUUGUCUCUUCAUAUUUCUCUCUAAGGCAACCAUAAACACAGCAGUCACUAAUCCAGAAAUCGAUGUUGGACCGUCGUGCUGGCUCCCGUCGCUGGAGGUCGACGAAUUCCAACACUCUUUACCAGUCCCUUUUUGACCCUUUGAACAUGAAUAUGGAGUUGGAUUCUCCAAAAAUUGCCCCAAACUACACGAAUCUAUGCUUGAACAUUCGAACUUCUCCUUGCCCGAUAUUGAAAUUCGACUGCUGACUCAGUUCGAUUCCAAGGUAUGUUGUUCUCCUUGACCUCUACUAUAUUCCUAUCGUUCAGAUUUUCGAGAUGACGACCCGAGGCCUCAGAACUAGCCUCAACGCCAAAUUGAAUAUGUUCCUUUCUUUCUUUUUUCUUUAUAUUUUUUGCUUCUUUCUUUGAUUUUGUUUCCUUUCUCUCUGUUGCAGGCUUUCACUUCUCUUGAAGUUUUUUUUCUUUUUCUUUUUGUGUUGUUGGGGUGUGUUUGUGUGUGUUGUUGUUGA
Molecule: long non-coding RNA, 604 nt
Filed under: Gossypium barbadense (sea-island cotton)
Lineage: Eukaryota; Viridiplantae; Streptophyta; Magnoliopsida; Malvales; Malvaceae
Description: long non-coding RNA (GBAR_LNC002360)
Source: RNAcentral